Long non-coding RNA from Colossoma macropomum (tambaqui), 231 nucleotides. RefSeq lists it as uncharacterized. The transcript is spliced from 3 exons. The record is from RefSeq and is a predicted model, not a curated record. Lineage: Eukaryota; Metazoa; Chordata; Actinopteri; Characiformes; Serrasalmidae.
GCUGUUACCGCUGAACCAAACUCCAACAUUAUGACAGUGGACACACCAGAGAACUAUGAUGAUGUCAUCAUAGCUGAACAGGAUGUAGGAGGGGUAAAAGACUAUGAUGACGUGGAGGAGGAGCCUCAGACAGAGAUGAAUCAUGUGACUGAGAGACCACAGCCAGUGUCUUUCCUCAGGAAACUACAUUCAAACUUCUUCAAACACAAGAAAUGAUUUUAUCAUCACAAG